Molecule: long non-coding RNA, 1054 nt
Organism: Scatophagus argus
Lineage: Eukaryota; Metazoa; Chordata; Actinopteri; Scatophagidae
Exons: 3
Source: RefSeq, a predicted model, not a curated record
GCAGUUCAGUGGCCUAAGGCUGAGGCACCACCCCUUGCCUGUCGGUUCAAAGGAUAGUCAUUUGUUGACUUUUCUUACGUGUGACAAUGCUGAAUUUCAGAUCCAAGCAUUUAAGAUAAUUCACAUUCUGAUAUAAGAGCACUGAUUAGAUGCAUAUAAGAAUAUAGUUAAGUAUGGUGACUAUAAACCCAGAUUUUUAGUUUUAAUCAAGCUUUUUAGUUGCCAUUUGUUAAUCUUUUGUGUUUAGUAAAAAAGUUGGUCUCGUUGCAAAAUACAAGUCGUUGAUUGCAAUAUUUAAGUGAAAUGUUUAAUGCAACGAUCGUGUCUAGUAAACAUUGCACGCUAUGCUAUGUUUCUGCGAGGGGAGGAGUUUAUUCGAAAUUUGAAGCUCGCUGUAAUUAGUGUCAACCUUCCUGUGGCUGCUGCGCCCUGAAACCAACAGACAGAGGACUUUUCAGGAAUGGAGGGCUUCUGGAGUGCGACUUCAUACAGGUGAAAGACUAAUGAACCAGCUGACAUCCACACACUGGUGCUCAGAGGACUUCCUCUUCUGCUUGGUGACAAGCCUACAGACUUCUACAAAACAUGCAUUGGUGAUGAUGGUGACUCGUUCCACCAAGUUGACAUUGGGAUCCUCAUUGUUGAACAUGAAGGUACCGAGCUGUUGCCUCCCCUCAAUUUCAGUCCAUCAUCCUUAAAGAUUGUCAUUGAGGGAGAAACUGUCAUGGACAGUCUUCAGGACUUGCCAAAGGCUGCAUGCAUCCUGUUUGGACUGAUGUAAGCAUUACACCUGAACUAUCCCAAGUCCAUGAGAAACACCUUCCACUUCAUCCAGCAGGUGCUCCUGAUGUUGGGGCAUACUGACCUGAAACCAGCUGACAGUUUAAAGGAAAAAUGUAUACAGGGCCAUAUCAGAAAACCUCAACUUGUACCUGUUUGGUCUACUUGUACUGAGGUGCAAAUAUUUGCAUUUCAGAUUUUGUGGACCGUUUUAAUGCCGUUCUUUUUUGUACAAUUUUGGCAAGUUGAUGUUGUUGCAGGCUAUUAUUUAGAA